Molecule: ribosomal RNA, 478 nt
Filed under: uncultured bacterium
Lineage: Bacteria
Description: partial 16S ribosomal RNA
Rfam family: Bacterial small subunit ribosomal RNA
Source: RNAcentral
GACGAACGCUGGCGGCGUGCUUAACACAUGCAAGUCGAACGGUAAGGCCCUUCGGGGUACACGAGUGGCGAACGGGUGAGUAACACGUGGGUGAUCUGCCCUGCACUUCGGGAGAAGCCUGGGAAACUGGGUCUAAUACCGGAUAGGACCACGGCCUGCCUGGGAGGUGCUGGUAAGCUUUUGCGGGGUGGGAUGGGCCCGCGGCCUAUCAGCUUGUUGGUGGGGUGAUGGCCUACCAAGGCGAGGACUGGUAGCCGGCCUGAGAGGGUGACCGGCCACACUGGGACUGGGAUACGGCCCAGACGCCUACGGGAGGCAGCAGUGGGGAAUAUUGCACAAUGGGCGCAAACCUGAUGCAGCGACGCCGCGUGAGGGAUAACGGCCUUCGGGUUGUAAACCUCUUUCAGCACCGACGAAGCGCAAGUGACGGUAGGUGCAGAAGAAGGACCGGCCAACUACGUGCCAGCCGCCGCGGUAA